Long non-coding RNA from Perognathus longimembris pacificus (Pacific pocket mouse), 498 nucleotides. RefSeq lists it as uncharacterized. Lineage: Eukaryota; Metazoa; Chordata; Mammalia; Rodentia; Heteromyidae. The transcript is spliced from 3 exons. The record is from RefSeq and is a predicted model, not a curated record.
AAAUCUAGGUGAAGACCAUCAUGGUGGCAGGACACAGAACAGAUGCAUCUAUAUCUGUCCUCUGGGUGAUAAAGAACAAAUGACUAGAAGAGCUCUUUGCUGCCAUAUUUUCUCUCCAGUUAGGAUUUGUAACCACCUGUGUCUGGCUGGUGUUAGUUUGGUUGAUUAUUUUUUUAAUCACCAUAUAUUAUUACAUGUUUAAUUUUUCUUCAAUGUACCUGUAUUUCUUUGUGUAAUGUGAAGAAACAAUGAAUACAUGGAUGAUUAGCAGUAAUCAAGAUGAGGUUAGAGGGAGCAGAAAGUUCUGUUUCUUCCUUUCUGUGUGUGUGUGUGUGUGUGUGUGUGUGUGUGUGUGUGUGUGUGUGUGUGUGUGUGUGUGUGUGUGUGAAACACUCAUUCCUAGCUAUGUGGCAGCCAUUUUUACUAAAGUACACGUGUAUGUGUCUUUGUGUACCCAUGAAAUAUCAGAGAAUAUGAUACUUAGACCCCAUUAGCAAG